UACGUAGGGGGCAAGCGUUGUCCGGAAUCAUUGGGCGUAAAGCGCGUGUAGGCGGUUCAGUAAGUCUGCUGUGAAAGUCCAGGGCUCAACCCUGGGAUGCCGGUGGAUACUGCUGGGCUAGAGUACGGAAGAGGCGAGUGGAAUUCCCGGUGUAGCGGUGAAAUGCGCAGAUAUCGGGAGGGACACCUAUUGCGAAGGCAGCUCGCUGGGACGUUACUGACGCUGAGACGCGAAAGCGUGGGGAGCAAACAGG
This 253-nucleotide ribosomal RNA is filed under the name uncultured bacterium. Its description in RNAcentral is "partial 16S ribosomal RNA". It matches the Rfam family "Bacterial small subunit ribosomal RNA", at positions 524 to 776 of the family's 1533-position model. The record is from RNAcentral.